GUUCGUCACUCCCCAUAACUGGGAAGGAGUCAGAGACAAUUACUUCAUGCCGACACUUCUUUCUAGCUAAUUUACACGCUGACGCUAUGUUGUGCUUGGUGACUUCUGACUGUUUCAGCACCCUCUUCAGAUUAGCCUUUAUGUCGGUAGCCCUGCCCCCUGGUAAACAGUGUAUGAUCGCUGGAUGAUUAUUUAUAAGUCUAAUACUGCUGGUAAUAGAGUUGCCAAUGACUAGGGCUUUCAAUUUGUCAGAGCUAAUGGUGGGAGGCUUCGGCGGCUCAGAUCCCGUAAAGGGUGGAGGAGAGACCAGAGAAGGCUCGGCCUCUGACCCCGACUCGCUGCUUAAUGGGGAGAACCGGUUGAAAGUUUCUGUCGGCUGACUGAGCGACACCGGUUGAGCAUUCCGACAGCAUUUCCUUCCAGAAGCCAUGAGAAAAUUGUCUGGCUGUGGGUACUGCGCGAGGAAUUGUGACCCAGGUGAGUGAGGCAUGCUGUGCUGCGAAAGGUGAAAAAACAGACUGCAUCUGUAUGCAUGUGAUUCUUCAUCUUCUUCAUCCUCAAGAAGAUAAAAUGCCAAACAUCAAUCAAUAAAUUACGGGGAAAAGCAGGCCAAGAGUGAUGUUUCCUAUUUAAUCCUUCCAGGCCCAUUACCGCUCUGUGGUGAAGACCUGGGCAACCGUAACAAGAGUGAUGCUGGCUAGCUGCCAGGUGGGGCGAGUGCUCAGGUUUUAGCUACAGCUCCCCUUUGUCUGUGGUUAGGCGUGCUUUGUAACCUUACUAAUUUUGUCUCAGCUACGGACUGCCAACACCAACGAAUGCCAGGCCUGCUUCACUGGCAUUUGCAGGGAAGAGAGAGCAUGUGUGAGGGGAGAGGUUUCCGAAUAAUAUUUGGUAAUUUUGUAUGGGCAAUAUUCUGACUUGGGAUAACUAACUCAAAUGUUUAAGUCUCCAAUUGACAUCAAUGAAGUCAGAGUAUGUAUUUAUCUCAACUCUGAAUCGGGCCAAUAUGCUUGACAAGUGAUGCACAACACAGGUUAUCGGUUUGUUUGAGGAUUAAACAUAAUUCACGCAAAGAAUAUCCCUGCUUCAAACAUGCACACUGGUUACUCACAAAGUUGUACUAUUCUGUUGUGCUUUGGCACAGGUUGUCAAAACCCCAAAAGUUAGCAUGUUCCUAAUUUCGAAUUUCAAAUGUGCAGAAAGUGAGUAAAAUGUUAACUAUAAUAAGGAAACAUGUCUAUCUGACUAUUUCACAGAUCAUUUUGGGGAUAGCCUGGACACCACUUAUAAAC
RNAcentral lists this long non-coding RNA (1292 nucleotides) under Salmo salar (Atlantic salmon). Its description in RNAcentral is "lncRNA (ENSSSAG00000091282.1)". The record is from RNAcentral. Lineage: Eukaryota; Metazoa; Chordata; Actinopteri; Salmoniformes; Salmonidae.